Molecule: ribosomal RNA, 1608 nt
Filed under: Triticum aestivum (bread wheat)
Lineage: Eukaryota; Viridiplantae; Streptophyta; Magnoliopsida; Poales; Poaceae
Description: partial small subunit ribosomal RNA
Source: RNAcentral
AUGACAGAUGGGUUCUCCGAGGAUCGGGAACUUGGAAGAGGCACAUAUGGAAAAGUCUAUCUGGGAUUGCGUGCGAAUGGGGAGAAGAUUGCUGUGAAGAUGCUUCAUCCCAUUCUAGGACUUGAUGAUGAGCUAUUUGAGAAGGAGUAUCACAACCUUGAAAUUCUCCAACACAAGAAUGUUGUGCGUUUAGUUGGCUAUUGCAAUGAAACUCGGCGGGAAUAUGUGCCAUACAAUGGGAAAAUGGUUCUCGGUGAAGUGACACAUAGGGCGCUUUGCUUCGAGUAUAUGCAAAAUGGAAGCCUUAAUGAUUAUCUCUCUGAUGAAUCUAGUGGACAUGAUUGGCACACACGCUACGCAAUAAUAAAAGGAAUUUCCAAGGGUUUGAAAUACCUUCAUGAGGAACUGGAACCUCCGAUGUUUCAUUUGGACUUAAAACCAGACAAUGUAUUGCUGGAUGAGAACUGCGUGCCUAAAAUUGGCGAUUUUGGAUUGUCAAGGCUAAUCGAUGAACGAACGCGUAUCACUACAAGUUCUGUAGGAACAAUUGGGUACUUACCGCCGGAAUAUAUAAAUCAUCAUGUAAUUUCUAAUAAAUUGGACAUAUUCAGCUUGGGUGUUAUAAUCAUAAAGAUAAUGGCAGGACCCAUGGGCUACUCAAAAAGUGCUGAAAUAUCUUCCCAACAAUUCAUUGAGCUUGUACAUAGAAAUUGGAGGAAUAGGCUACAUGCAGCAUCAGUGAAUGCACUGGAGUCCUAUUGCAUACAAGUAAAGACGUGCAUUGAAAUGGCUUUAACUUGUGUGGAGGUUGACCGACAUAAAAGGCCGACUAUAGGAAACAUCCUUAAUAAGCUAAACGAGACAGAAACUGCAAGUCAAUUUCCUGAUGCGCUACUAAAGGACCCUGGGUCAACAAAGAACCAGGAAAGCCAGCAAACUCACAUAACAGAAGCAGAAGAAAAACAGGAGAGAGAAGUGAGCGAAACAGAGAAUUGCUUUGGUGAAGUAGUCGACAACUACAAGUUGGAUAAAAUGGAAAGGUACAUGGGCAAACACAAGACACGGGAGGAUCGAGCGCGAGAGGCAUGGAACCUGGUGGACGAGCAUGACAAGGACAACGAAGUUUCUAGGUAUGUCAAGGGUCUGAAGUCCCUCUACGGCAAUGGACAGUCAACGUUGUGCCAUGUGUAUAAUGCGACCGGAGACACCCUCUACCAAGUCGCCAACUACGACUGGUCUGGCCACAUCGGCGGGGCUCCAUACCCAGCUACGAUUGGCAACGGCCAGUGGGCAGCAUUUCAUCACAUCCACCGGGCCGGCGAGUCGUCAGGUUCGGUAGCCGCUGUCGUGUACCGAGGGAAAAAUAAACAUGGCCAAGAUAAGGACUACAUAGUUGCCUGGAGUACCCCAUGUAGUUUCUGGCACCGCAAUAAGGCUUAUUGUGGGAUCAGUGAUGUCAACUGGUUUCAAAAGAACUUGGAGCAGCUUAUGUACAUAAUUUCCGAUGCUGAUUAUUCUUGUAGCUACAGAUCGGGCGGGUGUGAGAUUGAAGCAAAAAUUAGCAGAGGUCACAGCCCUAAGUUUACUGCAAGAAUCAGUUAUCGCUGA